Molecule: ribosomal RNA, 568 nt
Filed under: uncultured Actinomycetes bacterium
Lineage: Bacteria; Bacillati; Actinomycetota; Actinomycetes
Description: bacterial SSU rRNA
Rfam family: Bacterial small subunit ribosomal RNA
Source: RNAcentral
CCUACGGGAGGCAGCAGUGGGGAAUAUUGCGCAAUGGGCGAAAGCCUGACGCAGCAACGCCGCGUGCGGGAUGAAGGCCUUCGGGUUGUAAACCGCUUUCAGCAGGGAAGAAGCGAAAGUGACGGUACCUGCAGAAGAAGCACCGGCUAACUACGUGCCAGCAGCCGCGGUAAUACGUAGGGUGCAAGCGUUGUCCGGAUUUAUUGGGCGUAAAGAGCUCGUAGGCGGUUAGUCACGUCGGAUGUGAAAACCCGGAGCUUAACUCCGGGCCUGCAUUCGAUACGGGCUGACUCGAGUGUUGUAGGGGAGACUGGAACUCCUGGUGUAGCGGUGAAAUGCGCAGAUAUCAGGAAGAACACCGGUGGCGAAGGCGGGUCUCUGGGCAACUACUGACGCUGAGGAGCGAAAGCGUGGGGAGCAAACAGGAUUAGAUACCCUGGUAGUCCACGCCGUAAACGGUGGGCGCUAGGUGUGGGGAACAUUCCACGUUCUCCGUGCCGCAGCUAACGCAUUAAGCGCCCCGCCUGGGGAGUACGGCCGCAAGGCUAAAACUCAAAGGAAUUGACGG